Molecule: ribosomal RNA, 548 nt
Filed under: uncultured bacterium
Lineage: Bacteria
Description: bacterial SSU rRNA
Rfam family: Bacterial small subunit ribosomal RNA
Source: RNAcentral
GGGGAAUAUUGGACAAUGGGCGAAAGCCUGAUCCAGCCAUGCCGCGUGUGUGAAGAAGGCCUUUUGGUUGUAAAGCACUUUAAGUGGGGAGGAAAAGCUUGUGGUUAAUACCCAUAAGCCCUGACGUUACCCACAGAAUAAGCACCGGCUAACUCUGUGCCAGCAGCCGCGGUAAUACAGAGGGUGCAAGCGUUAAUCGGAAUUACUGGGCGUAAAGCGCGCGUAGGUGGUUAUUUAAGUCAGAUGUGAAAGCCCCGGGCUUAACCUGGGAACUGCAUCUGAUACUGGAUAACUAGAGUAGGUGAGAGGGGAGUAGAAUUCCAGGUGUAGCGGUGAAAUGCGUAGAGAUCUGGAGGAAUACCGAUGGCGAAGGCAGCUCCCUGGCAUCAUACUGACACUGAGGUGCGAAAGCGUGGGUAGCAAACAGGAUUAGAUACCCUGGUAGUCCACGCCGUAAACGAUGUCUACCAGUCGUUGGGUCUUUUAAAGACUUAGUGACGCAGUUAACGCGAUAAGUAGACCGCCUGGGGAGUACGGCCGCAAGGUUA